GGUGCAUGGUUGUCGUCAGCUCGUGUCGUGAGAUGUUGGGUUAAGUCCCGCAACGAGCGCAACCCUCGACCUUAGUUGCCAGCAUUCAGUUGGGCACUCUAAGGUGACUGCCGGCUAAAGUCGGAGGAAGGUGGGGAUGACGUCAAAUCAUCAUCGCCCCUUAUGACCUGGGCUACACACGUGCUACAAUGGGCGGUACAAAGGGUCGCGAACCCGCGAGGGGGAGCCAAUCCCAAAAAGCCGCUCUCAGUUCGGAUUGCAGGCUGCAACUCGCCUGCAUGAAGCCGGAAUCGCUAGUAAUCGCGGAUCAGCAUGCCGCGGUGAAUACGUUCCCGGGCCUU
This 341-nucleotide ribosomal RNA is filed under the name uncultured Anoxybacillus sp. RNAcentral's name for it is "bacterial SSU rRNA". It matches the Rfam family "Bacterial small subunit ribosomal RNA", at positions 1040 to 1382 of the family's 1533-position model. The record is from RNAcentral. Lineage: Bacteria; Bacillati; Bacillota; Bacilli; Caryophanales; Anoxybacillaceae.